UGAGACGCCAUUCCUCAUCCUGGGCUCAGCCAAUCGGGUGCUGAAGCAGAACUUAAUUAAUAUAAUGAGUCUGGCUGACACCAUCCUUGAGGAAGAAAACAAGAGCAAUGUCAUAACAGGAACGGAAACAGUGUAUGAAAGUCAGUCGGGUGACAUUGAAGGUGUUGGGAUCCACAUUCGCAGGCAGUUGUUCAUUGUAAGUGACAGCAAUGAAACUUUACAGCAAAUCUCAUUAUCAGCGGACACCGUGAGGAAAAACAUGUAUCCCAGCAUCCUCAA
Long non-coding RNA from Haliotis rubra (blacklip abalone), 279 nucleotides. RefSeq lists it as uncharacterized. Lineage: Eukaryota; Metazoa; Mollusca; Gastropoda; Lepetellida; Haliotidae. The transcript has 3 exons. The record is from RefSeq and is a predicted model, not a curated record.